UUUCUCAACUGGUGGAAGAGUCGGCGAGACUCGCCAGAAUCUUCACUCCUCCUCAUUGCAUUACUGGAACAGACGAAUCCAAAUUAGUUCCAGACUUGCAAUGCCUUGAAGAUGAGGCGAAUGUAACGCUGAGAUGAAAGGAUUGCAUCGAUGGAUCGAGCGUUUUCGUUGGUUAGGUGAAAAACAAUCAGAUCAAAGUCGUGAGUUCCUCUAAUUUUCAAUCGGCGAUGCAAAUUUUUUAUUUUGUAUUUGAAUUAUAAAGUAUAAGGAGCUGGAAGGUGAGAUGAACAAGCCACUAAGAAAUAAAUCAGAGAGUUUCAAAAGGAUAAUGUUGCAUUUAUAAAUAUUUAUAGGAAACACGAAGAACUGAAAUGGUAGCAGUUCGAAUAUGGAUUGUUUAUCUUAUAAUGUAUCCAAAAAGGGAAGAAGAAAAGAAAAGAAAA
This is a non-coding RNA of Cucurbita pepo subsp. pepo (vegetable marrow), 443 nucleotides long. Lineage: Eukaryota; Viridiplantae; Streptophyta; Magnoliopsida; Cucurbitales; Cucurbitaceae. The record is from RefSeq and is a predicted model, not a curated record.